Pelobates cultripes (western spadefoot toad) is the source of this 323-nucleotide non-coding RNA. The record is from the annotation of a GenBank genome assembly. NCBI's taxonomy places the organism in Eukaryota, Metazoa, Chordata, Amphibia, Anura, Pelobatidae.
CUGAACAUCAGGCACUCAGGGGUCCCGGUCCACGCACCGCCGCCCGGACGAGGUCUGGGUCCCGGGCACCGGACCACCACCCUGACAGUUUUUAAGAUGGAAUCUACAGGAUUUGGCAACAUAUUGGAUGUGAGGCUCAAAGGUGAGGCCAGAAUCAAGUAUGACGCCAAGACAGUGUGCCUGCAAGGAUGGACUGAUGUGGGUACCACAAACUUGAAGGGAGAGCGAAAGAGGAGGGUCAGUAUUAGGAGGAGGAAAGACAAUGAGCUCAGUUUUAGAAAGAGUGAGUUUCAGAAAGUGGGAGGACAUCCAGUCAGAGAUGG